CCCGGGCAUGUGCCCUGACCGGGAAUUGAACUUCGAUCUCCUGGAUCCUAGGUCGAUGCUGAACCACUGACUCUGUUGCAUGGUGUAGAAUCUCAGGUGGCCAUUAACGCUUGUUAUUUAGGUGUUUAAAUGUAGCAAAAUGUUUGCAGCAUACUAGAGAUUUUUAUAAAAUGCAAUUUAUAUACAGUAUCUCCUGUUUUUAUAACAAUAUGUUUCUCUCCCAUUUCCCCCAGGGGAGAGCGUGAACACAGUCCCCCACUAUCAGGAAUCAUGCAGUCAAGUUUCCCACAUUUGGGGAAAUUGCAGGGGUCAGCAAUCCGGACUGCAGUGGAUAAAAGCCUCUCCCUGGGAAAACCACCUUCGUGGUCAUGGUACCUCCCCCGCCAGUGUGUGUGCCCCUCUGCCCCUGGCCCGGACUCUUGUCUCCUCGGCCUCCAGGGUACCCACCGUGAAGGAACACACAGAGCGUGGGGUGAGAACGGUACCUGCCACACCUGGUCAUUGUGAAGAUGAAGUGCAUCUGAACAGGAGCCAGGAUUAAAGCACCGUCCUGCACAAGGUCUUCGGGGCUGGUGGGAGCCUACGGACGGACAGUGGAGGCGGAGGGUUAGCAAGAGGGUGUCCACGAUCCCAAGACCCAGGCGCUGCCGCCCCCAUCACGGGUACCGAGGCUCGGAAAGGAAGACCGAUGCGCCGCACCGCUGGAGAAUUCCAGAAGCCUAAAGAAGUUAGGUUGUUCCCAGUCUUUUGCUACAAAUUGCUUCAUACAGGUGUCAUCUCUCAGCAGAGCAAUGAAUCUGUAGGAUGAAUUCCUAGAAGGGGAAUUUCUGGGUCAAAGGUAUGUGUUCUUCUACUUGCUACUCUUAUGGUUAAAUUGUACCCACUUAAAGCUGCAAGAGGCUGUAUCCAUUUAAGCUGUCGGGACCUCUCUUCACACCCUUCCCCAGCAGCGUGUUUCCAAACCUGGAUCUCAGGUUGGUGGGUAAAAAAAAAAAGAUAUCUCAAGGUAGCUCUAAUUUGUAUUUGUUUUAUGAAGCUCCCUUAGGCCACUCCUCAGUCAGCCCCUUCUUCGUUUUUCUGGCAUGGGAUUGGGGUUUGCGCCUCUGCUUCCAGGAGUGUCUUUUGCUGAUGCUCCCAGACCCCUCCCUGCGCACAUCCUACUCCUUCUCUCUCUUUUUUUGGUUAAUUGUCACCUGAGGAUAUAUA
Miniopterus natalensis is the source of this 1206-nucleotide non-coding RNA. Lineage: Eukaryota; Metazoa; Chordata; Mammalia; Chiroptera; Miniopteridae. The record is from RefSeq and is a predicted model, not a curated record.